UACGUAGGGUGCAAGCGUUAAUCGGAAUUACUGGGCGUAAAGCGUGCGCAGGCGGUUUUGUAAGUCUGUCGUGAAAUCCCCGGGCUCAACCUGGGAACUGCAUCUGUGACUGUAUAGCUAGAGUACGGUAGAGGGGGAUGGAAUUCCGCGUGUAGCAGUGAAAUGCGUAGAUAUGCGGAGGAACACCGAUGGCGAAGGCAAUCCCCUGGACCUGUACUGACGCUCAUGCACGAAAGCGUGGGGAGCAAACAGG
RNAcentral lists this ribosomal RNA (253 nucleotides) under uncultured bacterium. RNAcentral's name for it is "partial 16S ribosomal RNA". It matches the Rfam family "Bacterial small subunit ribosomal RNA", at positions 524 to 776 of the family's 1533-position model. The record is from RNAcentral.